RNAcentral lists this long non-coding RNA (1155 nucleotides) under Olea europaea subsp. europaea. The record is from RNAcentral. Lineage: Eukaryota; Viridiplantae; Streptophyta; Magnoliopsida; Lamiales; Oleaceae.
GUUUUAUAGGUCUUAAAAUUAGGAAAUUCAGAAGAUCUCUCAAGUGGGGACUGGGAAGGAGACAGACAAUAAGUGAUUAUAACCCAAAACGAGCAACACUGAAAGAAUCAGAAAGCCUCCAAAUUGCAGAAUGACUGCAAGGCCUUCAGAUAAAAGUCCUUCAUCCCAAAAGAUAGUUUUUUGGGCUAAGAAUUCAACAGAGGCCAACAGAUUGAAUUUUAAAAUUACAAAUGAUUAUUUAAUGAGAAAUGUAGAGCUCUCGACGAUCCUUAAGAUAGCAGCAUAGAAUUCCCAACCAUUGGUAUAGGAUGCGUGCUUGAAAAAAUAAAUCCAAGGAUCAACCAAUAGUAUUCAUAAUUCAAGCAGCUUAUCCAUUUAUAUAGUGAUUCGCGGAUCUAAUCAGACAUUGACUAAGAUAAGAGAGUCAUUCAAAAUUCCGCUUCUUGAACAUAUAAGAACUAUGUAAAUAUCAAAUUCAAUCAAAGACGUGAUUAAUACAGAAGAUCCAUAAAACAUUCAUUUCAACAACGCAUUUGGCAAAAAACAGAAGUAUAUACUAUUUUAUCAAUCAUUUCACUUCCAUUCAGACUAAAAAAAUAGAACAAAUAAUCAGUCAUCUAAACCUAAUCCUGACAGCAAUUUCAAAAUUUAAAAAAACAAAAAAAAACAAAAAAAAAAACCGAUCAAAGGUCAGUCACGUAAAAUAAAUCAAAGAAUUAAAACGUAAAUUCCAACACACAGAAGCAGAUCCGUGCACAAAUCCAACAAAAACUACACAAAUCACUUAAUUAAGACACAAAAUACAUACAGAUUAAGUGCAAUGAGAUCUGAUCCUGACUCUAGAGAUACAAUUUUUUAAACAUAUAUAUAGAUCAUACGAAUGCAAAAUACAUGAAAUUGAACAAAGAAACAGAUGUCUUACGUGAUCCGAAAAUAAUAAAGGAGAUUGAUUUGGGAAGAAGAGAGGAGGCAGAUCUUGUUCAAGGCUGCCCUUAUGAGAAUCUUGUUCAUGAAUUGCUUAGAAUGGGAUUUUAUACAUAUAUUUUAAAAUUUUGAAUAAUUAUUUUUCUUUUUUUUUAAUUUAAACCAUUUUGGGUAAAUUGUUCUAAUAGUCCUUGUUCUUUUUUUCAAUUGACAUUUUAGUGUAGAAAAUUU